RNAcentral lists this ribosomal RNA (253 nucleotides) under uncultured bacterium. RNAcentral's name for it is "partial 16S ribosomal RNA". It matches the Rfam family "Bacterial small subunit ribosomal RNA", at positions 524 to 776 of the family's 1533-position model. The record is from RNAcentral.
UACGGGGGGGGCAAGCGUUGUUCGGAAUUACCGGGCGUAAAGGGCGCGUAGGCGGCCUGCUAAGUCGGAUGUGAAAUCCCUCGGCUCAACCGAGGAACUGCAUCCGAUACUGGCGGGCUUGAAUCCGGGAGAGGGAUGUGGAAUUCCAGGUGUAGCGGUGAAAUGCGUAGAUAUCUGGAGGAACACCGGUGGCGAAGGCGGCAUCCUGGACCGGUAUUGACGCUGAGGCGCGAAAGCGUGGGGAGCAAACAGG